This 448-nucleotide ribosomal RNA is filed under the name uncultured soil bacterium. Its description in RNAcentral is "bacterial SSU rRNA". It matches the Rfam family "Bacterial small subunit ribosomal RNA", at positions 26 to 521 of the family's 1533-position model. The record is from RNAcentral.
AGAGCGAACGCUGGCGGCAGGCCUAACACAUGCAAGUCGAACGGACCCUUCGGGGUUAGUGGCGGACGGGUGAGUAACACGUGGGAACGUGCCUUUAGGUUCGGAAUAGCUCCUGGAAACGGGUGGUAAUGCCGAAUGUGCCCUUCGGGGGAAAGAUUUAUCGCCUUUAGAGCGGCCCGCGUCUGAUUAGCUAGUUGGUGAGGUAAAGGCUCACCAAGGCUACGAUCAGUAGCUGGUCUGAGAGGAUGACCAGCCACAUUGGGACUGAGACACGGCCCAAACUCCUACGGGAGCAGCAGUGGGGAAUCUUGCGCAAGUGGGCGAAAGCCUGACGCAGCCAUCGCCGCGUGAAUGAUGAAGGUCUUAGGAUUAGUAAAUUCUUACAGUAGGAGAUAAUGACGGUACUACAGAAGAACGCCCGACUAACUUCGCGCCACGCAGCCGACGU